This is a long non-coding RNA of Plodia interpunctella (Indianmeal moth), 228 nucleotides long. RefSeq lists it as uncharacterized. The transcript has 3 exons. NCBI's taxonomy places the organism in Eukaryota, Metazoa, Arthropoda, Insecta, Lepidoptera, Pyralidae. The record is from RefSeq and is a predicted model, not a curated record.
UUUAUUUAUAUUGUUUUUUAAUAUUUUUUACUUUAAACAGUGCUAAGAGAGCAACCGUCGUCAACAAUAUCUUCACUAUAUGUUCACUUCCAUUAGUACAAGGGCUUUGCUAUGGUUACUUUGAAAGGUCAACUGGAAGUAGAAGAAAUGUAACUUGCAAGAUUUGAUUACAGACAACGGGACAGGUGGAGGAACUACUUAAAUAAAAGCUUUCAAUAUUAGUAAGAU